This 249-nucleotide unclassified non-coding RNA is filed under the name Hevea brasiliensis (rubber tree). The record is from RNAcentral. Lineage: Eukaryota; Viridiplantae; Streptophyta; Magnoliopsida; Malpighiales; Euphorbiaceae.
GUCCUGGACAGAUUUGACAGAGACUUUUUUUUUCUGACUUUGCCAUUGAGAUCAUAUAUAUUUCAAACAGUUCUGAAGUUGUAAAAACCCUGAGAGCUUGGGAGCUCUGCUGGCACAAGUCCUCAAAUGAAAAUCAGGAGCCCAAUCAGGCAAGUGCUUCUUGCUAUCAAACAAAGACUACUUGAUUUCCACACCUCUAUUGUCAACUGAGUGUAAGGCGCUGAUCCAGCCAUGGUUGAAAAAAUUGCC